Molecule: ribosomal RNA, 400 nt
Filed under: uncultured bacterium
Lineage: Bacteria
Description: bacterial SSU rRNA
Rfam family: Bacterial small subunit ribosomal RNA
Source: RNAcentral
UGGGGAAUAUUGGACAAUGGGCGAAAGCCUGAUCCAGCAAUGCCGCGUGAGUGAUGAAGGCCUUAGGGUUGUAAAGCUCUUUUACCCGGGAAGAUAAUGACUGUACCGGGAGAAUAAGCUCCGGCUAACUCCGUGCCAGCAGCCGCGGUAAUACGGAGGGAGCUAGCGUUGUUCGGAAUUACUGGGCGUAAAGCGCGCGUAGGCGGCUUUGCAAGUUAGAGGUGAAAGCCCGGAGCUCAACUCCGGAACUGCCUUUAAAACUGCAUCGCUAGAAUUGUGGAGAGGUGAGUGGAAUUCCGAGUGUAGAGGUGAAAUUCGUAGAUAUUCGGAAGAACACCAGUGGCGAAGGCGACUCACUGGACACAUAUUGACGCUGAGGUGCGGAAGCGUGGGGAGCAAA